GGGGUUGUAGCUCAGUGGUAGAGCACCUGCCUAGCAUGUGUGAGGCACUGGGUUUGAUUCUCAGCACCA
Molecule: transfer RNA, 69 nt
Filed under: Marmota marmota marmota (Alpine marmot)
Lineage: Eukaryota; Metazoa; Chordata; Mammalia; Rodentia; Sciuridae
Also listed under: 3 other names
Rfam family: tRNA
About the family: Transfer RNA (tRNA) molecules are approximately 80 nucleotides in length. Their secondary structure includes four short double-helical elements and three loops (D, anti-codon, and T loops). Further hydrogen bonds mediate the characteristic L-shaped molecular structure. tRNAs have two regions of fundamental functional importance: the anti-codon, which is responsible for specific mRNA codon recognition, and the 3' end, to which the tRNAs corresponding amino acid is attached (by aminoacyl-tRNA synthetases). tRNAs cope with the degeneracy of the genetic code in two manners: having more than one tRNA (with a specific anti-codon) for a particular amino acid; and 'wobble' base-pairing, i.e. permitting non-standard base-pairing at the 3rd anti-codon position.
Source: Rfam by way of RNAcentral